AAGAGAAAGGCCAUCGGUGAAGAAGUGGCUCGACUGUUGGCGGCAGGAUUUAUCCGAGAGAUAUUCCACUCCGAGUGGCUCGCUAACGUCGUCAUGGUUCCUAAGAAGGACAAGUCGCUCCGAAUGUGCAUUGAUUUCAAGCACAUAAACCGGGCCUGCCCGAAAGAUCACUUUCCUCUCCCUCGCAUAGAUCAAAUUGUUGACUCGACCGCGGGAUGCGAGAGGCUGUCUUUUUUAGAUGCUUACUCCGGGUACCACCAGAUCCGUCUGUAUGGACCCGAUGAAGUAAAAACAGCUUUCAUCACUCCAUUCGGGUGCUUCUGC
RNAcentral lists this ribosomal RNA (324 nucleotides) under Triticum aestivum (bread wheat). RNAcentral describes it as "partial small subunit ribosomal RNA". The record is from RNAcentral. Lineage: Eukaryota; Viridiplantae; Streptophyta; Magnoliopsida; Poales; Poaceae.